ACUCCUGAGAAUGCUUAUUCCAGCAAAGAAGAAGAUCUUCCGAAAAAACAAGAUUAUAAGUCACAGUCUGUAAGAAAAGAAAAAGUAAAACAAGAUAGACUCCUGAGAACACUAAUUCCAGCAAAGAAGAAGAAGAUCUUCCUAAAAAACAAGGAUUACUCAAAGUUAUUGAGAAGAAAUACAGGUUCUGGUGGACAAUUUCCAGUCUGGUAUCUGCAUUUGGAGAGAUUCUACAGCACAUGCAUGAAUGAGGGAAAACACUGUGAUCAAUUGAAGUUGUCAUCCUCAUGAAGCUCAUACUGUUUUGCCUGAAAAAUAAAUAAUGGAGUAUCUGCUGAGGAGACUGGAAUGAGGAAGGAAUUCAUUAAGUCUGAUUGUCUCUGAACAGCAAAGUUCCUGAG
Long non-coding RNA from Pan troglodytes (chimpanzee), 401 nucleotides. The record is from Ensembl. NCBI's taxonomy places the organism in Eukaryota, Metazoa, Chordata, Mammalia, Primates, Hominidae.